RNA transcript from Cyclopterus lumpus (lumpfish), 6554 nucleotides. It is a transcript of the gene named tubulin tyrosine ligase-like family, member 12, with no coding region annotated. The transcript has 29 exons. Lineage: Eukaryota; Metazoa; Chordata; Actinopteri; Perciformes; Cyclopteridae. The record is from RefSeq and is a predicted model, not a curated record.
GCACUGCUGCCGUAGCUGUCAACCCCCCUUUCCGGGUUUCCACAGUCCACCUCCACGUGCGUGAUAUCCGACUGGAGUGAUGUCAACAAACUCUCUGAUUACGAAUGGAGACGAGGACGAGGAGUUGGACGUGUUUGUGGCCCUGCACGCCGGGGCCCUGCAGUCCUCCGGGAUCCCCCCGAUCUACUGGAGGAGCCUCCAUCACAAAAUCACCAACGAGAUUUACGAUGCUGGGGAAGUUUUCGGAAUCAUGCAUUUCCAAGAAGAAGACGACGACGACUCGCAGGAAGGUGAAGGGAAUAACGAGAGGAAGAGUCCUGCACCAGAGAUCCGCUGUAAAGUGCUUGUGACCCGGGAGAGUGGGCUGCAAGCCUCUGAGCCAACCAGUGUGUACCUGGUGGAUCACGCCUGGACGUACCGCGUGGACCAUGCCCGUCAGCAGCUGGAGAACACCCCCGGCCUGCUGCCCAGAAUGGCCGCCCUCGUGGGGGUGGACUUCCACGGCGAGGCCCCCGACCCGGAUACGGUGGAGAUGGUGAUGGAGCGCAUGUGGAAGCACAACCAGACUUAUAAACUCUCCCAGGGGUCUCCUGAGGAUAAAGUACCGGUGUGGUACAUCGUGGAUGAGUUCGGCUCCCGGCUGCAGCACUCCGACCAGCCCAGCUGCAGCAUGGCUCCCUUCUUCUACGUCCAGGGCGGGCUGGCCUACUCUGUGCUCUGGCCCCUGCAGGACCUGCAGGAGGGAGAUGAAGUGACACGAGACUAUACGUUUGGAGAGACGGACCCCCUUUUGAGGCGAUGCCGUCUGUUACCAUGGAUACCUGACCAUCUAGAAGGGGUCAGCAGUGUCACGACUGAGCCCCCGGACUCGUACUACGAGGCCAUUGCGUUGGAGAACAAGGAGCUGCUUCCAGUGGACAUCCAACCCUUCUCUGUGCCCGAGGACAAAAUCCUCAAGGUUUACUCCGACAUGUCACAAGUAAGAAACAACCUGACUCACCUACGGUUCCAGCUGACGGAGGAGGAGGAGGAGGCUGAUAUUGUUUGGAUCUAUACUCACAUCAAAGACUACAGGAAGCUGAGCGAGGAACGACCCCAUGUGAUGCUUAACCAGUUUCCCUGCGAGAGCAUCGUCACCGUGAAGGACUGCAUGGCCGCCGUGGCCCGCAGAGCGGGAGGCGGCUCCCGGCCCGAGUGGUUACCAGAGACCUUCAACCUCCAGUCAGAGCUGCCGCAGUUCGUCAAGCGCUAUCAACAGAGGCAACAAAGGGGAGAGGAUAACCACUGGAUCUGUAAGCCCUGGAACUUGGCACGUGGCCUGGACACACACAUCACCAACAACCUGGACUACAUAAUCAGACAGAGAGAGAGUACACCAAAGGUGGUGUGUAAGUACCUUGAAGAUCCAGUGCUGUUCAACAGAGAGGAGGUGGGAAUGGUGAAGUUUGACAUCCGCUACAUGCUGAUGGUGCGCUCUGUGCAGCCUCUGCGCCUCUAUGCCUAUGACGUCUUCUGGCUGCGCUUUGCUAAUAGACCUUUCUCCUUGGACCAUCUGGAUGAUUACCAAAAGCACUUCACCGUCAUGAACUACACCGACGCUGUGGAGCUGAAGCAGGUGCACUACGAUGACUUCAUCCCCAUGUUUGAGAAGCAGUACCCACUGUAUCCAUGGAAGGGGGUGGAAGCAGAGGCGUUCAAGGCCUUCGGGGAGUUCUUCCAGGCCGCCUCGUGCCGCCCGGCUCCGUGUGGUGUGUGUCCGUACCCGUCGUCCCGGGCCAUCUAUGCCGUGGACCUCAUGCUGAAGUGGAGUACGGGGCAAAAUGGUGAGCGCGUCAUGAAGCCUCAGAUCCUGGAGUUCAACUUCAGCCCAGACUGCGCCAGGGCCUGCCUCUACCACCCCUCCUUCUACAACCACAUGUUCCAGACGCUGUUCCUGGAUCAGCCCGAGCACUGUCCGGUCACACAAAUCGCAUGAUCCUCUGUCUUUGUCUGUAACCGGUGUACCAUCUACGCUCCAGUUGAUAUUCACAUAUUCCUUGUGAAUCUUUAAAUCAUUUGCGAUGAACCUCAAGUAUUAACUCUGUUCAGAUGGAAAUAGAACAACAACUGCUAAGUGUGUUAAUGUGCAGAAGAGGAAAUGUAUUCAUUUGAUGUGUGAAAAGUUGUUAGGCAAAAACAAAUCUAUUUGACCCUGUUAUUAUUGGGUUAAAGAUGACUGGUCAGUGGUUUGUAACUGUUGGUGUAACUUGUAUCUACCUUUGUGCUGUAGAUUUACCUCAUGAGUCAUGAAGAUCAGGCCCAAGAACACAGAGCUGAUAUGAAUUGAGUGCACUACGAUGACUUCAUCCCCAUGUUUGAGAAGCAGUACCCACUGUAUCCAUGGAAGGGGGUGGAAGCAGAGGCGUUCAAGGCCUUCGGGGAGUUCUUCCAGGCCGCCUCGUGCCGCCCGGCUCCGUGUGGUGUGUGUCCGUACCCGUCGUCCCGGGCCAUCUAUGCCGUGGACCUCAUGCUGAAGUGGAGUACGGGGCAAAAUGGUGAGCGCGUCAUGAAGCCUCAGAUCCUGGAGUUCAACUUCAGCCCAGACUGCGCCAGGGCCUGCCUCUACCACCCCUCCUUCUACAACCACAUGUUCCAGACGCUGUUCCUGGAUCAGCCCGAGCACUGUCCGGUCACACAAAUCGCAUGAUCCUCUGUCUUUGUCUGUAACCGGUGUACCAUCUACGCUCCAGUUGAUAUUCACAUAUUCCUUGUGAAUCUUUAAAUCAUUUGCGAUGAACCUCAAGUAUUAACUCUGUUCAGAUGGAAAUAGAACAACAACUGCUAAGUGUGUUAAUGUGCAGAAGAGGAAAUGUAUUCAUUUGAUGUGUGAAAAGUUGUUAGGCAAAAACAAAUCUAUUUGACCCUGUUAUUAUUGGGUUAAAGAUGACUGGUCAGUGGUUUGUAACUGUUGGUGUAACUUGUAUCUACCUUUGUGCUGUAGAUUUACCUCAUGAGUCAUGAAGAUCAGGCCCAAGAACACAGAGCUGAUAUGAAUUGAGUGCACUACGAUGACUUCAUCCCCAUGUUUGAGAAGCAGUACCCACUGUAUCCAUGGAAGGGGGUGGAAGCAGAGGCGUUCAAGGCCUUCGGGGAGUUCUUCCAGGCCGCCUCGUGCCGCCCGGCUCCGUGUGGUGUGUGUCCGUACCCGUCGUCCCGGGCCAUCUAUGCCGUGGACCUCAUGCUGAAGUGGAGUACGGGGCAAAAUGGUGAGCGCGUCAUGAAGCCUCAGAUCCUGGAGUUCAACUUCAGCCCAGACUGCGCCAGGGCCUGCCUCUACCACCCCUCCUUCUACAACCACAUGUUCCAGACGCUGUUCCUGGAUCAGCCCGAGCACUGUCCGGUCACACAAAUCGCAUGAUCCUCUGUCUUUGUCUGUAACCGGUGUACCAUCUACGCUCCAGUUGAUAUUCACAUAUUCCUUGUGAAUCUUUAAAUCAUUUGCGAUGAACCUCAAGUAUUAACUCUGUUCAGAUGGAAAUAGAACAACAACUGCUAAGUGUGUUAAUGUGCAGAAGAGGAAAUGUAUUCAUUUGAUGUGUGAAAAGUUGUUAGGCAAAAACAAAUCUAUUUGACCCUGUUAUUAUUGGGUUAAAGAUGACUGGUCAGUGGUUUGUAACUGUUGGUGUAACUUGUAUCUACCUUUGUGCUGUAGAUUUACCUCAUGAGUCAUGAAGAUCAGGCCCAAGAACACAGAGCUGAUAUGAAUUGAGUGCACUACGAUGACUUCAUCCCCAUGUUUGAGAAGCAGUACCCACUGUAUCCAUGGAAGGGGGUGGAAGCAGAGGCGUUCAAGGCCUUCGGGGAGUUCUUCCAGGCCGCCUCGUGCCGCCCGGCUCCGUGUGGUGUGUGUCCGUACCCGUCGUCCCGGGCCAUCUAUGCCGUGGACCUCAUGCUGAAGUGGAGUACGGGGCAAAAUGGUGAGCGCGUCAUGAAGCCUCAGAUCCUGGAGUUCAACUUCAGCCCAGACUGCGCCAGGGCCUGCCUCUACCACCCCUCCUUCUACAACCACAUGUUCCAGACGCUGUUCCUGGAUCAGCCCGAGCACUGUCCGGUCACACAAAUCGCAUGAUCCUCUGUCUUUGUCUGUAACCGGUGUACCAUCUACGCUCCAGUUGAUAUUCACAUAUUCCUUGUGAAUCUUUAAAUCAUUUGCGAUGAACCUCAAGUAUUAACUCUGUUCAGAUGGAAAUAGAACAACAACUGCUAAGUGUGUUAAUGUGCAGAAGAGGAAAUGUAUUCAUUUGAUGUGUGAAAAGUUGUUAGGCAAAAACAAAUCUAUUUGACCCUGUUAUUAUUGGGUUAAAGAUGACUGGUCAGUGGUUUGUAACUGUUGGUGUAACUUGUAUCUACCUUUGUGCUGUAGAUUUACCUCAUGAGUCAUGAAGAUCAGGCCCAAGAACACAGAGCUGAUAUGAAUUGAGUGCACUACGAUGACUUCAUCCCCAUGUUUGAGAAGCAGUACCCACUGUAUCCAUGGAAGGGGGUGGAAGCAGAGGCGUUCAAGGCCUUCGGGGAGUUCUUCCAGGCCGCCUCGUGCCGCCCGGCUCCGUGUGGUGUGUGUCCGUACCCGUCGUCCCGGGCCAUCUAUGCCGUGGACCUCAUGCUGAAGUGGAGUACGGGGCAAAAUGGUGAGCGCGUCAUGAAGCCUCAGAUCCUGGAGUUCAACUUCAGCCCAGACUGCGCCAGGGCCUGCCUCUACCACCCCUCCUUCUACAACCACAUGUUCCAGACGCUGUUCCUGGAUCAGCCCGAGCACUGUCCGGUCACACAAAUCGCAUGAUCCUCUGUCUUUGUCUGUAACCGGUGUACCAUCUACGCUCCAGUUGAUAUUCACAUAUUCCUUGUGAAUCUUUAAAUCAUUUGCGAUGAACCUCAAGUAUUAACUCUGUUCAGAUGGAAAUAGAACAACAACUGCUAAGUGUGUUAAUGUGCAGAAGAGGAAAUGUAUUCAUUUGAUGUGUGAAAAGUUGUUAGGCAAAAACAAAUCUAUUUGACCCUGUUAUUAUUGGGUUAAAGAUGACUGGUCAGUGGUUUGUAACUGUUGGUGUAACUUGUAUCUACCUUUGUGCUGUAGAUUUACCUCAUGAGUCAUGAAGAUCAGGCCCAAGAACACAGAGCUGAUAUGAAUUGAGUGCACUACGAUGACUUCAUCCCCAUGUUUGAGAAGCAGUACCCACUGUAUCCAUGGAAGGGGGUGGAAGCAGAGGCGUUCAAGGCCUUCGGGGAGUUCUUCCAGGCCGCCUCGUGCCGCCCGGCUCCGUGUGGUGUGUGUCCGUACCCGUCGUCCCGGGCCAUCUAUGCCGUGGACCUCAUGCUGAAGUGGAGUACGGGGCAAAAUGGUGAGCGCGUCAUGAAGCCUCAGAUCCUGGAGUUCAACUUCAGCCCAGACUGCGCCAGGGCCUGCCUCUACCACCCCUCCUUCUACAACCACAUGUUCCAGACGCUGUUCCUGGAUCAGCCCGAGCACUGUCCGGUCACACAAAUCGCAUGAUCCUCUGUCUUUGUCUGUAACCGGUGUACCAUCUACGCUCCAGUUGAUAUUCACAUAUUCCUUGUGAAUCUUUAAAUCAUUUGCGAUGAACCUCAAGUAUUAACUCUGUUCAGAUGGAAAUAGAACAACAACUGCUAAGUGUGUUAAUGUGCAGAAGAGGAAAUGUAUUCAUUUGAUGUGUGAAAAGUUGUUAGGCAAAAACAAAUCUAUUUGACCCUGUUAUUAUUGGGUUAAAGAUGACUGGUCAGUGGUUUGUAACUGUUGGUGUAACUUGUAUCUACCUUUGUGCUGUAGAUUUACCUCAUGAGUCAUGAAGAUCAGGCCCAAGAACACAGAGCUGAUAUGAAUUGAGUAAGACCCAAAAGUUGAUUUAUGCAUUCUUCUAUUGUGAAUUAUUCCAAAGUGAUUUAAUAAACAUGAAAUUAUUGAAAUAAUGCUUCUGGUGACAGAAAGCACUGCAAGAUAAACUGUUGAAUGUGUCCUCAUAUGCCCUAGUCAUUGAGUCAUUUGACUAAAUGAGGAAGUGCAUCCUGCUGGGGGAAAUACAUCUGUGUGUUAAUCUGAUACAAUGAAUGGUGUCAGCUGAUCAGCUGGCUGGGAGAUGUGUGGAAGAGGGGACGGCUCAACUGGACAACAGAGGGACUCGGAGCAUUGAGUUGCAUUUGGCUUUGGACACUGUGGCACUCAGCUGAGGACAUCAUCUCUUUGUCCAAAUAAUAAAUACAUGUUUAACUGUAAAAGCCCAGAACUGACCCAGACCACAGCAUUUGUCAUGUGGAUUUUAAUACACAGCUGCAUAGUAUCAAAUAUUUUGGAUUCCAAACAUCUCUCCCACCAACUGAGACCUGGGUGCCUUAUCACCACCACCAACCCCCCUCAGUUUGAAGGUCAGAGCUCUGAGCUGUCUUUCUCUAAAAGAAAACAAAUGUAUCCAGUUUCAACUUCUUUGUUCACAGUGACCUCGGUGAACCUCAGAAAUCCCUUUUUUCCCACUGAAAAUAGCAAUAAACUCAAGUUUGACCUU